This 467-nucleotide ribosomal RNA is filed under the name uncultured bacterium. RNAcentral's name for it is "partial 16S ribosomal RNA". It matches the Rfam family "Bacterial small subunit ribosomal RNA", at positions 28 to 506 of the family's 1533-position model. The record is from RNAcentral.
GACGAACGCUGGCGGCGUGCUUAACACAUGCAAGUCGAACGGAAAGGCCCUGCUUUUGUGGGGUGCUCGAGUGGCGAACGGGUGAGUAACACGUGAGUAACCUGCCCUUGACUUUGGGAUAACUUCAGGAAACUGGGGCUAAUACCGGAUAGGAGCUCCUGCUGCAUGGUGGGGGUUGGAAAGUUUCGGCGGUUGGGGAUGGACUCGCGGCUUAUCAGCUUGUUGGUGGGGUAGUGGCUUACCAAGGCUUUGACGGGUAGCCGGCCUGAGAGGGUGACCGGCCACAUUGGGACUGGGAUCCGGCCCAGACUCCUACGGGAGGGAGCAGUGGGGAAUAUUGCACAAUGGGCGGAAGCCUGGUGCAGCAACGCCGCGUGCGGGAUGACGGCCUUCGGGUUGUAAACCGCUUUCGCCUGUGACGAAGCGUGAGUGACGGUAAUGGGUAAAGAAGCACCGGCUAACUACGU